Molecule: ribosomal RNA, 527 nt
Filed under: uncultured bacterium
Lineage: Bacteria
Description: bacterial SSU rRNA
Rfam family: Bacterial small subunit ribosomal RNA
Source: RNAcentral
AAUAGAUACCCGGGUAGUCCAUGCCGUAAACGAUGAGUGCUAAGUGUUAGAGGGUUUCCGCCCUUUAGUGCUGCAGCUAACGCAUUAAGCACUCCGCCUGGGGAGUACGGCCGCAAGGCUGAAACUCAAAGGAAUUGACGGGGGCCCGCACAAGCGGUGGAGCAUGUGGUUUAAUUCGAAGCAACGCGAAGAACCUUACCAGGUCUUGACAUCCUCUGACAGCCCUAGAGAUAGGGCUUUCCCCUUCGGGGGACAGAGUGACAGGUGGUGCAUGGUUGUCGUCAGCUCGUGUCGUGAGAUGUUGGGUUAAGUCCCGCAACGAGCGCAACCCUUGAUCUUAGUUGCCAGCAUUCAGUUGGGCACUCUAAGGUGACUGCCGGUGACAAACCGGAGGAAGGUGGGGAUGACGUCAAAUCAUCAUGCCCCUUAUGACCUGGGCUACACACGUGCUACAAUGGAUGGUACAAAGGGCUGCAAACCUGCGAAGGUAAGCGAAUCCCAUAAAGCCAUUCUCAGUUCGGAUUGCG